This 255-nucleotide ribosomal RNA is filed under the name uncultured bacterium. RNAcentral describes it as "partial 16S ribosomal RNA". It matches the Rfam family "Bacterial small subunit ribosomal RNA", at positions 524 to 777 of the family's 1533-position model. The record is from RNAcentral.
UACGUAGGUGACAAGCGUUGUCCGGAUUUACUGGGCGUAAAGAGCGCGCAGGCGGUCGAUCAAGUCGAGUGUGAAAGCCCCCGGCUCAACUGGGGAGGGUCAUUCGGAUACUGAUCGACUCGAAGGCAGGAGAGGGUAGUGGAAUUCCCGGUGUAGCAGUGAAAUGCGUAGAGAUCGGGAGGAACAUCCGUGGCGAAGGCGACUACCUGGACCAGCACUGACACUGAGGCACGAAAGCGUGGGGAGCAAACAGGG